UACGUAGGGCGCAAGCGUUAUCCGGAAUUAUUGGGCGUAAAGAGCUCGUAGGCGGUUUGUCGCGUCUGCCGUGAAAGUCCGGGGCUCAACUCCGGAUCUGCGGUGGGUACGGGCAGACUAGAGUGAUGUAGGGGAGACUGGAAUUCCCGGUGUAGCGGUGAAAUGCGCAGAUAUCAGGAGGAACACCGAUGGCGAAGGCAGGUCUCUGGGCAUUAACUGACGCUGAGGAGCGAAAGCAUGGGGAGCGAACAGG
RNAcentral lists this ribosomal RNA (253 nucleotides) under uncultured bacterium. Its description in RNAcentral is "partial 16S ribosomal RNA". It matches the Rfam family "Bacterial small subunit ribosomal RNA", at positions 524 to 776 of the family's 1533-position model. The record is from RNAcentral.